This is a long non-coding RNA of Lagopus muta (rock ptarmigan), 594 nucleotides long. RefSeq lists it as uncharacterized. The transcript is spliced from 3 exons. The record is from RefSeq and is a predicted model, not a curated record. Lineage: Eukaryota; Metazoa; Chordata; Aves; Galliformes; Phasianidae.
UCUAUUUGCUAUGGGAACUCCCAGUGUUGUUCUCCCCAGUGUGUGUGUACCAGAAAGUGAAAACAAGUGGGAAUGGGAAAUGCAAAGCAGUGGCAGAGGCUUAAAAGCAAAUUCUCCAGCUCAUGCUGAGCUCCCCUCAGCCCAUCCUGUGCUCUGUUCCUCUGCAGCAUCUCGUGCUCCAGGAUGGGAAAAGCACAAGUCAGGAAAUGAAUUACAACCAGAUGGAUAAACAAACUUUCAAACAACAUGAGAAGAGCCCUUCAAAGGCAGGAGUGAGGCAGAGCCCUGCCCAGCCCUCGGAGAGUCCCUGCUUGCCGGCCCCAGCAUCCUGCUCCAUUCCCAGCAGUGGGAUGCUUUGUGCAUUACCAGAACAGACUCACAUUCUGCUCACUGUGGCUCUGAGGCCUCUGCAGAAGCCUUUGUAAGAAACAAGGACAGCUCUCAGGGCCUCUGUUCCUUACAAGAGUGAAUCAUCAUUUCCUGCUGCUCCGAUGGAUGGAGGCUUUGCCAUGAGAGGAUGUGGGUUUCGUUCCAAUCAGCAGCGUGAAUUUCUGAAAAACAGCAUUAAAGUGGAUGGCAGCUCCACACUGAGCA